AGCCAUAGAAGUACUUGUUGAUGGUUUU
Molecule: non-coding RNA, 28 nt
Filed under: Homo sapiens (human)
Lineage: Eukaryota; Metazoa; Chordata; Mammalia; Primates; Hominidae
Source: RNAcentral